AUUGAACGCUGGCGGCAGGCCUAACACAUGCAAGUCGAACGGUAACAGGAAGCAGCUUGCUGCUUCGCUGACGAGUGGCGGACGGGUGAGUAAUGUCUGGGAAGCUGCCUGAUGGAGGGGGAUAACUACUGGAAACGGUAGCUAAUACCGCAUAAUGUCGCAAGACCAAAGAGGGGGACCUUCGGGCCUCUUGCCAUCGGAUGUGCCCAGAUGGGAUUAGCUUGUUGGUGGGGUAACGGCUCACCAAGGCGACGAUCCCUAGCUGGUCUGAGAGGAUGACCAGCCACACUGGAACUGAGACACGGUCCAGACUCCUACGGGAGGCAGCAGUGGGGAAUAUUGCACAAUGGGCGCAAGCCUGGAUGCAGCCAUGCCGCGUGUAUGAAGAAGGCCUUCGGGUUGUAAAGUACUUUCAGCGGGGAGGAAGGGAGUAAAGUUAAUACCUUUGCUCAUUGACGUUACCCGCAGAAGAAGCACCGGCUAACUCCGUGCCAGCAGCCGCGGUAAUACGGAGGGUGCAAGCGUUAAUCGGAAUUACUGGGCGUAAAGCGCACGCAGGCGGUUUGUUAAGUCAGAUGUGAAAUCCCCGGGCUCAACCUGGGAACUGCAUCUGAUACUGGCAAGCUUGAGUCUCGUAGAGGGGGGUAGAAUUCCAGGUGUAGCGGUGAAAUGCGUAGAGAUCUGGAGGAAUACCGGUGGCGAAGGCGGCCCCCUGGACGAAGACUGACGCUCAGGUGCGAAAGCGUGGGAGCAAAC
Molecule: ribosomal RNA, 756 nt
Filed under: uncultured Escherichia sp.
Lineage: Bacteria; Pseudomonadati; Pseudomonadota; Gammaproteobacteria; Enterobacterales; Enterobacteriaceae
Description: bacterial SSU rRNA
Rfam family: Bacterial small subunit ribosomal RNA
Source: RNAcentral